Ornithorhynchus anatinus (platypus) is the source of this 444-nucleotide long non-coding RNA. RefSeq lists it as uncharacterized. The record is from RefSeq and is a predicted model, not a curated record. The transcript has 3 exons. NCBI's taxonomy places the organism in Eukaryota, Metazoa, Chordata, Mammalia, Monotremata, Ornithorhynchidae.
UCAGGGAUUUUCAAGAUAAGAGGUGUUGAAAGUAAACAGCCCUUAUUCCAGGAAAAGUUUAAGGACUGGCAACAUCUUCACUUUCUAUUAUUAACACUGGGUGACACAACUGCCAUAACGGACUAUGGCAGAAUGUUGAAAGAUGGAUUUUUUAAAAUGAAGUCUAUUACAGAACCUCUGUGGCAUGAAGCUGUUGUGGGGAAACCAACUGCAUCAACACAGCAUUUCUCAUCUAUUUACCUGUGAAAGGAGGACUCACAGCUUGGGUCAAGAAGUCAUUGCAGUGGUUGUUGGUGGUUUGAUUACUUUAUGGUGAUGGAAGCUGUAGACUUCUUUGAAGGGACCAAGAAGCGGCUGGAGGUUGGAUUUCCCAGCAGCAUUAAGACAAAGCAAGGCAUCCGGAGGUACCACUCCAAAGUACAGUAAACGUCAAUGCCAAAAACA